Molecule: long non-coding RNA, 4270 nt
Organism: Mercenaria mercenaria
Lineage: Eukaryota; Metazoa; Mollusca; Bivalvia; Venerida; Veneridae
Exons: 3
Source: RefSeq, a predicted model, not a curated record
GGCGUUGGUAUAUAAUUAAAAAAAAAACACAUUGUUUAAAUUUUUUAUGGAAGUCCUGCUUUUCUACAGUGAACAAUUAACAUGAAUCGACAAAGAAAAAAACAUAAUUUAAUUUAUGUUUCUGUAGAAUAUGAAGGAACAUUGCCGUGGGUAUAUUUUCUUUUACGAUGACUCUAUCAGUUUACGCUGCUGACAUUUUUAUAUGUAUGUUGGAGUCAAAAGAAUUGCCAUAGAGUAGCAAUCUUUGUUAAUUAUCGAAGCAUUUAAAUUACACGUGUGAUAUUGAUAUAUCGACUGCGAAAAAACAUAAUGAUGACUAUGUAGGAUAUAAAUGAAAAAAGAAUAUCAUGCGGAUAUUAAAAUUAAAUAUCUUACUCUUUCUAUAUUUAUGGUAACUACGGCAACUUAUGUCGCUGUAAUACAUGCAUAUCUAAAUGAAUCAGCAGACGGCUUUUAUUCCAAUGUUAAGUCUAAAGAAAUUGCUAUAGAGAAGCAAUCUUUGUUAACUAUCGAAUAUGGCAUUUAAAUUAAACUUGUGGUAUUGAUAUAUCGGCCGCGAACAAAAACCAUAAUGAUGACUAUGUAGAAUACAAAAGGAAAAAGAAUAUCACGCGGAUAUGAAAAUUAAAUAUCUUAUUCUUUCUAUAUUUAUGGUAACUAUGGCAACUUUUGCCGCUGUAAUACAUGUAAUAGUAAAUGAACCAGCAGACGGCUUUUAUUCCUAUGUUAAGUCCAAAGGAGUUGCCAUAGAGAAGCUAUCGUCAGGUAAAUAUCGUAUAUCUUAUUCAAACUGGUACUGUGAUAUAGACACAUCGGUUGCAAAGAACUUUAUAAAAAAGAAUAUUUCAUGGAAAGACAUGUUUGAAACGAGAAUAGACGUGUUGAGCGAAAGAACAAAGUUCUCAUCCGAUGUGUUACGUAAGAAAAUGGGUAUUUUGCCAGAAGAUGGAACACCAAUUAUUUUAGUAGCAAGACAAGGCAAUGUGAGUAUACCCAAAAACACCGUUAUUAUUCGUUUAAACAAUCACGGUCCAACUGAUGCAAGAACGUCAAUGGUUAUGUGUUGGGGCUCUAUUAUUAGGGCACUUACUAAACUUGCACGCGAACAUCCAACAGACGAAUUAAUUAUAUUUGGUCGUCGGCCAUGGAAUACAUCGCACCCGCUAGUCAUACCGGAAAGCAGAUGGCAUCUCCAAAAUUUGAAAUAUUACAGAGGUCCGCUAUUUUUCCUAAGAGGUGAAUAUGUUCCCGGACACAUGGCAAAAUGCAACCCUGGAGAUGGUAUUGGAUUGCGAGCAUUAAAAACAAUUGCCGAUUUAAAAGGUGAUGUUUCAACUUUGGGAUUUAGAGCAGGUGUAGAUGCAUACAAUACAAGAAAAUAUAAUAGAUUUAUAUUACUCGCACACAAAUUGGUUUGGUCGUUUUUUGUUGUAAAAGAGUUAACAGAUACUUUGUAGAUACACUGAGAUAAAUGCUAGAUUUUAAUGAGAUAUUUUAUUUGUUUUUAUGCAAAAACUAGAGGCGGUUUUGAGAAAAGCGCAUGUCUCCCACGGCUGCCUAGUCAUCUGAAUAGAAAGUCUGUCUUUAUAUACUGUUUGCAGACUAUUGAUAUAUGUUGGGGUUGGAGUAACCGGUCUACAACUCUCUAUCGGUAAUUAUGUUUCGAGGGCCAUACUUUAGUAGUGCCUUGACCGAUUUUGGUUAGUGAUCGAACUUGGCAAACAUAUUUUGUUCAAGUUUGGUGAAGAUCGAAUAAGAAAUAUUCGACUUAGAGUGCGGACAAGCUUUAUGACAGACACACAGACAGGAGUAAAUCAACAUGUCGCCCACACCACUGUGUAGUGAGAGACAUAUUUAUCUUUAUGAUAGUCAAAGAGUUAUAGCAAAGUGUAUGAGCUAUAAAAAUGUUUAUUCAAUCGAACGUUAUUAAAAAUAAUUAUUGCAUUUCGUAAAAAUCGGUCAAAUUAAAAUGGAGUUGAAAUUGAGUUUAUAUCAUCUAUACCAUAACAUGCUCUGACAAUAAAAAAUCAACUACCAUAACUUAAAUGAAGUUCUACACAUUUGAUAAACCGGAAGUGAUGGCGUAACGUCAUUUAUCCGGAAAACGUAGAAUAAAGCCUGGAUUUGGCGUUCGGAAAUGAAAAUCGUUUUAUGAAAUUAAGGCAACCAAUGAAUAGGUUUAUUACAUAGACACUAUGUCUAUACUUCUUAAGUCUAAUAUGAUAUUAAAACAUAUGACACGUUAAAGAAUUCAAAAUCAUGUCUAAAAAUUAGUAUAAAAUGUUCAAUUUACUUAAACAUGGUAAAAUAGCUUAAAAACAAGCACACGUACACACAAAACUUUAAUUUCACCAUAUUAUAGGUCAUGGGUUUAUGUACAACUACGAUACAAUUCUACAUUGUGAAAACUUCAAUUUACAAAAACGCUAUGAAAGUAAUGAUUUCCCUAUAGACUCUCAUUGUUAUGAAAUAUUUCGUGAAGUCUAUAUAUUUUAGAUCACUCUAGAAAAAAAAAACAAAAAAAAAAAAAAACAAGAAAACCUCCCUAUCUUUUUUAUUUUCUGAUUUUUCUAGGUGUUUUCUUAAGUUUUGAAAAAUCGGAGUUUAAACAAAUUCUACAUUAUAGAAACAUUUUCGACCCAAACGUGCAGAACUACCAUAAUGAUGAUUAAAUUGAAUUUCCUGUUUAUGCAUGCAUUGUUUAUGUUUAGUAAAAUGGAUUGUCUCUGAACAAUAAACGGAUAACAUUUACACAAAUUUCCUGCAUUUAUAUCAGAUCGCUCUGUUUCUGCAAUGGUAGAGGAUGAAUUUUGUGAAUUUAUCAGUUAUUUAGUAUGAGAUGCGUGUUUUUUGGUUUUCUACGCAUGUAUAAUUUUUCAUACUUUCCGUUGGAUGAUAUGAUAUCAUACAUUCACAUUAUUUAAAAGACUGCAACGAUCAGUUUUGACGAGGUGCUUAUAUACGAUAUAGGAUUGAUUAUUUUUCUAGUGAUCAUGCAUGUGUGACCCUUAUUCCCUUUUAAUGAACAACAUUUUAUAAAAUUAUGAUCAUCUGUUGGGAAAUGAUCUGAGAAAAUGAAUGCUCACACUUAAAUGUUUCGUCUAGAAGUAAGAAAGUUAUCGCCGCUUUUCUAAUGCAAUAUAGGUUUAUCGAUGUGUGAGGUCCCGGUUAAACCAGUCAUAUUGCUGUGGAUUAAAGAAGUCUUUACGAUUUCGGAGUGAUAUCUUUAAAGACUUUUACGGUUUUUAUUUUAUUGCGUAAUAAUAAUCUAUAUAACAAAAUUAAUAUUUUAAAUUAAUUAUUUAACUGAUUGUAUUGAUUUUCCAGUAAAUAUUUUGACCUUUAUAUGUUUUCGGUAUAAUAAAUAUAGCAUUCCUGAGAGCGUGAUAUAAACAUGGUCACCCCUCAAAUAUAUAUCUCACCCCCUCAGGAGGAAUGCAAUAUUUAUAUAAUAUCUUUGUAACAGUAUGACUCAUUUAUCAUUAAUCACUUUUUUCGUACACGUGACAGUGAGUAAAUAUAUUUCAUUUAGUUAUAAAUAUCAUUUUCAUUUUAAUGUUAAGAUAAAAUAAUGGAAUUAAUCAAUAACAAACCAUGCGAAUAGAGACUUUACAUGACAAAACGCAUUGUCAUUAUGAAUGUUGGAACAAUGGGGAAACGCAUAAAACUUUUUUCCGUUCUGGGAACUUUAAUUCUUCUGUGUUCACUGUUAAAAUGGUGCAUUAUGCAAAACUGGAUUUGACAAGCGCCUUUAAAGUCUUCCGUUCAUCCGACAGUAACACUGAAAUAAGAAAUCUUAAUGAUAUUGGACGCGUUCUUUUAGAGCAAAGAAACAAUACAUCAAAAUUGCUGAAUAUAAAAUAACAGACAAUUGGACAAUAAGAGUGUCAGAUUUUAAGAAGUUGUCUCAUUGAGAAGUGGCAUCUGUAUUAAAAAGGAUCAUGUCAAGUUAUCUGUUGUUAAAUCGAAGACACACCAGAUAGUGAAAAGAUAGUAACGAUUUUCUGUCGUUAUCCACCGAUUGACAAUGUAAAAAUUCAGAAAGUGAUCUGUAUUUGUGGAUGUGAGACGUUGGUUCCAAAGACAGUUAAAUAUUGCAAAACUAGUGUUCUUCUAUUGCAAUCAGUGUUUUCAAUUUAUCGAUGUUAUAAGUGCUUAGACACUCUAAUAUGCCAUGCUUUGGCAAUCAUUUUUUCUUUUUUGCUUGGAACCACGGUGUGUUUGAGUAUGUAUGAAAAAUGAAAUAAAACUAUGCCUGUUUCACCACUCA